This 308-nucleotide unclassified non-coding RNA is filed under the name Hevea brasiliensis (rubber tree). The record is from RNAcentral. Lineage: Eukaryota; Viridiplantae; Streptophyta; Magnoliopsida; Malpighiales; Euphorbiaceae.
UUUGGCCAAAUUUAUAUCUCAUUAAAUGAUUAUAAAACAAAGAAUAUCAGUGGCAGUAAGGAAUUUAUUCCAUAAACUUGAGCAAGGUUGCACAACUGAUGAAACACCAACAAAGUAUGACGAGUCUGUUACAUACGUCUCCGGAUAAACAGUCCCAAAUUACUUCCCAGUUCCCACCAACAGGUUGUCAGGGACGCUGGAAGAUCCAUCUCUUAGCAAAUUUUGAAAGCACAAAAGAAGAAAAAGAGGGAAAGAUCUUGAUGUGUUGCAGCAUCUAGGCAUUGGCAGUUUUGGGGAUGAGAGGUAUG